AGUGGCGAACUGGUGAGUAACACGUGGGAAACCUGCCCAGAAGCGGGGGAUAACACCUGGAAACAGAUGCUAAUACCGCAUAACAACUUGGACCGCAUGGUCCGAGUUUGAAAGAUGGCUUCGGCUAUCACUUUUGGAUGGUCCCGCGGCGUAUUAGCUAGAUGGUGGGGUAACGGCUCACCAUGGCAAUGAUACGUAGCCGACCUGAGAGGGUAAUCGGCCACAUUGGGACUGAGACACGGCCCAAACUCCUACGGGAGGCAGCAGUAGGGAAUCUUCCACAAUGGACGAAAGUCUGAUGGAGCAACGCCGCGUGAGUGAAGAAGGGUUUCGGCUCGUAAAACUCUGUUGUUAAAGAAGAACAUAUCUGAGAGUAACUGUUCAGGUAUUGACGGUAUUUAACCAGAAAGCCACGGCUAACUACGUGCCAGCAGCCGCGGUAAUACGUAGGUGGCAAGCGUUGUCCGGAUUUAUUGGGCGUAAAGCGAGCGCAGGCGGUUUUUUAAGUCUGAUGUGAAAGCCUUCGGCUCAACCGAAGAAGUGCAUCGGAAACUGGGAAACUUGAGUGCAGAAGAGGACAGUGGAACUCCAUGUGUAGCGGUGAAAUGCGUAGAUAUAUGGAAGAACACCAGUGGCGAAGGCGGCUGUCUGGUCUGUAACUGACGCUGAGGCUCGAAAGUAUGGGUAGCAAACAGGAUUAGAUACCCUGGUAGUCCAUACCGUAAACGAUGAAUGCUAAGUGUUGGAGGGUUUCCGCCCUUCAGUGCUGCAGCUAACGCAUUAAGCAUUCCGCCUGGGGAGUACGGCCGCAAGGCUGAAACUCAAAGGAAUUGACGGGGGCCCGCACAAGCGGUGGAGCAUGUGGUUUAAUUCGAAGCUACGCGAAGAACCUUACCAGGUCUUGACAUACUAUGCAAAUCUAAGAGAUUAGACGUUCCCUUCGGGGACAUGGAUACAGGUGGUGCAUGGUUGUCGUCAGCUCGUGUCGUGAGAUGUUGGGUUAAGUCCCGCAACGAGCGCAACCCUUAUUAUCAGUUGCCAGCAUUAAGUUGGGCACUCUGGUGAGACUGCCGGUGACAAACCGGAGGAAGGUGGGGAUGACGUCAAAUCAUCAUGCCCCUUAUGACCUGGGCUACACACGUGCUACAAUGGAUGGUACAACGAGUUGCGAACUCGCGAGAGUAAGCUAAUCUCUUAAAGCCAUUCUCAGUUC
Molecule: ribosomal RNA, 1213 nt
Filed under: Lactiplantibacillus plantarum
Lineage: Bacteria; Bacillati; Bacillota; Bacilli; Lactobacillales; Lactobacillaceae
Description: bacterial SSU rRNA
Rfam family: Bacterial small subunit ribosomal RNA
Source: RNAcentral